This 460-nucleotide ribosomal RNA is filed under the name uncultured bacterium. RNAcentral's name for it is "partial 16S ribosomal RNA". It matches the Rfam family "Bacterial small subunit ribosomal RNA", at positions 338 to 795 of the family's 1533-position model. The record is from RNAcentral.
CCUACGGGCGGCAGCAGUGAGGAAUAUUGGUCAAUGGGCGCUAGCCUGAACCAGCCAAGUAGCGUGAAGGAUGACUGCCCUAUGGGUUGUAAACUUCUUUUAUAUGGGAAUAAAGUGCAGUAUGUAUACUGCUUUGCAUGUACCUUAUGAAUAAGGAUCGGCUAACUCAGUGCCAGCAGCCGCGGUAAUACGGAGGAUCCGAGCGUUAUCCGGAUUUAUUGGGUUUAAAGGGGGCGUAGGUGGAUUGUUAAGGCAGUUGUGAAAAUUUGCGGCUCAACCGUAAAAUUGCAGUUGAAACUGGCAGUCUUGAGUACAGUAGAGGUGGGCGGAAUUCGUGGUGUAGCGGUGAAAUGCUUAGAUAUCACGAAGAACCCCGAUUGCGAAGGCAGCUUACUAAACUGUGACUGACAUUGAUGCUCGAAAGUGUGGGUAUCAAACAGGAUUAGAUACCCGAGUAGUC